RNAcentral lists this ribosomal RNA (207 nucleotides) under uncultured bacterium. RNAcentral's name for it is "partial 16S ribosomal RNA". It matches the Rfam family "Bacterial small subunit ribosomal RNA", at positions 568 to 774 of the family's 1533-position model. The record is from RNAcentral.
CGCGCAGGCGGCCGAUCAAGUCAGGCGUGAAAGCCCCGGGCUUAACCUGGGAAUUGCGCUUGGGACUGAUGGGCUAGAGUUCGGGAGAGGAGAGUGGAAUUCCCAGUGUAGAGGUGAAAUUCGUAGAUAUUGGGAAGAACACCGGUGGCGAAGGCGGCUCUCUGGACCGAUACUGACGCUGAGGCGCGAAAGCGUGGGGAGCAAACA